Molecule: non-coding RNA, 30 nt
Filed under: Homo sapiens (human)
Lineage: Eukaryota; Metazoa; Chordata; Mammalia; Primates; Hominidae
Source: RNAcentral
UGUCUUCUGCAUAGGGCUGAGAUGGAGUGU